UAGAUACCCUGGUAGUCCACGCCGUAAACGAUGAUUACUAGGUGUUGGGGGUCGAACCUCAGCGCCCAAGCUAACGCGAUAAGUAAUCCGCCUGGGGAGUACGUACGCAAGUAUGAAACUCAAAGGAAUUGACGGGGACCCGCACAAGCGGUGGAGCAUGUGGUUUAAUUCGACGCAACGCGAGGAACCUUACCAGCGUUUGACAUCUUAGGAAUGAGACAGAGAUGUUUCAGUGUCACUUCGGUGAAAC
Molecule: ribosomal RNA, 250 nt
Filed under: uncultured bacterium
Lineage: Bacteria
Description: partial 16S ribosomal RNA
Rfam family: Bacterial small subunit ribosomal RNA
Source: RNAcentral